UUAAAUUGAAGAGUUUGAUCAUGGCUCAGAUUGAACGCUGGCGGCAGGCCUAACACAUGCAAGUCGAACGGUAACAGGAAGAAGCUUG
Molecule: ribosomal RNA, 88 nt
Filed under: Escherichia coli
Lineage: Bacteria; Pseudomonadati; Pseudomonadota; Gammaproteobacteria; Enterobacterales; Enterobacteriaceae
Description: partial 16S ribosomal RNA
Rfam family: Bacterial small subunit ribosomal RNA
Source: RNAcentral